Bos taurus (domestic cattle) is the source of this 1397-nucleotide long non-coding RNA. The record is from Ensembl. NCBI's taxonomy places the organism in Eukaryota, Metazoa, Chordata, Mammalia, Artiodactyla, Bovidae.
GGAGAGCCGGAGGGGCAUGCUGGCUUGUCCCAGGUGCUGUUUUUGUUUGUUUUGAUGCAAAGAGGACAGUUUAGAAGACCUCCUUUUUAUCCAGGAGAUCCUCCCAGAAAAAGCAUCAUAGAACCUGCCUGCCUGCCUUUCAUUUUUCUCUUGCCCUAUCCUUUGUGGUAGAGGAGCCUGGAUGCUGUUACCUGUGUGAAAGGACAGGGUCAGAGGAGCAUCCUUUGGGCUUGAGCUAGAAUGUGUUGCCAAACACCAUGCCUUUCAAAAUGGUUCUCCGGCUCAUUCUUAGAAUCCUGCUUUGGGGACUGGUACUUUUAUAUGGAACGUGGGGUCCAAAUGACACAGAAGACAACACAGAUGCCAGUCACACAAAGGGAAUAUCUGCUCACACACCUUCAAACAGGAGGGUCACAAAGCCGCCAGGAGGAUGAUGGGAAGGGAAUCAAACCAAUACCUCCGCGACACAAACGGCCUUCAGAACCAACUGGCAAAACGCCCGAACAGCACUUUGUACUCCAAAGAGAAGUUAGCCGGUGCACACCAGUGGACUUACUCAGCCUUGGAGCUUGUCAGCUCUUCCGGACGCAUGUUUCUGCUCCACCAAGGAAGAGAAGAGAGUACGCUGGCAGCCGCUGCAGGGCAGGGGAGAAGCGUGGAGGCUCCCCGAAACAAGUGGUUUCAGCAGCUGCUAGAAACUUCCCCCUAAGACCUCCUCCCGGGGCCGGUGAGCCAGGAGCGGGGGUUCCUCGCAGCCAUCCCUGCGCGUUGUCCUGGCCUCGAGUGAAUUCAGGAAAACCCUGGAGUCAGCUCAGCAGCCCCACCUGAGGCACCAAAAACUGUAAUUGAAAGUGUCUGGGUCCAGCUGCCCACCCAUCAAAAACCGAUAAAGAGGCAAGGUUGGUGGAAAGGAAAGCUUGCUUUACUUCCGAGGCCAGAAACAGAGGGGAGGGGGCCAUGCCUGCAAAGGCCGACUCCCGCUGCUGAUGCUCACUGGGCAAGAGCUCUUAUAGAUGGAAAGAGGGGGCUAAUGCAGGAAUGGCACCGUCAGCUCUGCCAAUCAUCUUGAAAUUGGUCCUGCGGUGAUCUGGUCAAGUGUACUUGUCUUCAGUUCCAGUUCCAGGAUCGACGUGCUCCCAUUUCUUUGACGCCAGCUCUCAGAGUUGUGGCGGCUUAUGUCGUGUGAUGUGGGCAGAGUUCCUGAAGUAAGCCAUGUCCUUCCCACUUCAUUGGCUGCCUUAAUGUUCCAAGCCUGGGGACGAAUCAGCUUUGUCCCCAGAGUACACCUUGACAGAGGAUUAGAGGGUUCACUCUGCGUUCCUGUCUCCUUUUGUGAAAGCAUCAGAGCACCCGAAAUCCACGAAGGGAGAAGCUAUGUUUGUUACUACAUCUUUAAC